This is an RNA transcript of Panicum virgatum (switchgrass), 2553 nucleotides long. RefSeq lists it as uncharacterized. The transcript has 7 exons. Lineage: Eukaryota; Viridiplantae; Streptophyta; Magnoliopsida; Poales; Poaceae. The record is from RefSeq and is a predicted model, not a curated record.
UAGAACAGGACCUGAAGUUCAACAACCUUCCAGACCAAGCAGUCUGAUCAGCAGGCGUUCCAUAUUAAUACUGCCAGACAAGCUGACUAAUGGAGUGGAUGAGAUUAAUAUGGUUGGUGCAACAGAUCAAGGUUGCAGUUCCAGGGACCAAAAACAUAGUAACGAAGCUACUUCAUCGAAGGCAGUUGUUGUUGAUGUCAAAGGGAGUUCAUGGGAUUUCCCCGCCCCCGAUUGUGAUAUUAUGAAGUUCAUUGUAGAUCCCACACCACCUCAGAAAGUAUCCAACACACAAGGCCUUGAUCCUAUGGCAGACCCCGGAUCUGUGUGGACAUUGGAUGGGCUGGAUGAUGAUGUGUAUGAAAUUCUGGAAGCACAGGCUAUUCAGAUCAAUGAGAAAGCAAAGGCCAAGCAUAGGGAUGUAAAAGUUGCAGGAACAACUCAAAUUAUCGGGUCAACAUCUUAUGCUGCACCAGAGGUUCCAUGAGAAGAUUCUAGCAAUAGCAAUUAUUCAGGAGCAGCAGUCAAAGUUGCAGUAACACCGCUACCUCUUGGGACAACUUCUUAUGCAGCAGCACCAGCAAAACAUGCAGACCCCACCAGCUGCACCAUAUCAAGAGCAACAGCAAAAGUUGCAGGAACAUUGCAAGCUGUCAUGACAAGCUCCACCGGGACACCAUCUUUUGCUAUGCCGGAGGCGCCAAGAGCAGAUUCAAGCAGCAGAAAGCAUUCAGGAGUAACGGCAAAAGUUGCAGCAACACCCUCUUAUGCAGCAGCACUAGCAAAAGAUGCAGAUCCCACCAGCAGCAAGAUAUCAAGAGCAACAGCAAAAAGGUGCAGGAACACUGCAAAGACGUCGGGACAAGCUCUCACACAGCAGCACAGGCACCACAAGCUGUUGGAGAUCUUUCCAUCACACCAGAGUAUGCACCUCCACCAAGAAGAGAGCACAAGCUGCUUGCUGCACUACAGUCCCCUUAUCUUAAUGGUGCAAGGAAGGUUUCGUUCAGCUGCAGUAGAGCCGUGACAAAGACUUAUAACGCAGUUUGUAUGUUCUCAGGAAGGUCAACGAGGUCCAAGAACAGGAAUGUAGUCAUAAUCAACUAUUUGUCCAACUAUGCUACACUGGGACAUUUAGUUGAUUCAGUUAAACCAGGGGGAAAGCUAACCAACACUAUCGCAGAGAUUGGCAUUCAUGUAAUUAAUGGCAAGAAGAAAAGGGGUGCAACCAGAUGGGUCAUGCCGCUAUACAUUACGACAUUCCUGCAAAGUCAACAAAUUUGCGCAAGCGCGGUCAAACAUGCACUCACAAAAAGUGAAAACAAUCUAAACCACCGGCAACUGGUAUUGUUCCCUGUGUUGCAAAGGCUUGUCUCGAGCGAUAUACAGUCAGGGCACUACUUCCUAAUUGUUCUGAACCUUCGGAACAACAGGUUUGAAGUCCUCGACUCUAUGAGAACACUGGAGAAUGAAGCGCUGGCACAGUGCUGCAACACAAUCACCAGCGGAAUCAAACAGUUGUGGAAAAUCUACUAUGCUCAGACACUAUGUUACACGGAUACUGGUACGGGUAUCGGAUACGAUACGUAUCGGAUACGCGGAUACGCACUUUCCCAAAAAACACUGAUAUGCGGAUACGGCUAGAAUAAUUAAUAAUUAUAUAUAAAUAUCACAUAGAUAUUCAGCAAGUGAGAUUUUACUCUUGAGUAACUUCCCCUAUACUCAGAUGUGCAAUACUUGCAUGUCCAUAUAACAUUACCUCUAUAACUAGCCUUCUCUAAAAGCACAACUGAUUCCACAAGGGGUUCUUCAGUUGCUGCUCAUCUAGUUCUAUUACAGCAAGUUCAUCAUUUUAUAUAAUCUCUUACUACCAAAACAGCAUUUCGGUGGGCUGAUUACUGCUUUGGGCUGUAUCCCAUCUGGCCCAAAAGUAUCGGAUACGCGUAUCCAAGCAAAUACGUAUCCGUUUUUUCAGGAUACGGCUAUAAACGUAUCCGAGUCGUAUCCGGGGCGUAUCCGUAUCCGAUACGUAUCGGAUACGGAUACGCCACCUCCUAGGAGUAUCCGCGUAACAGAGCUCAGACAACCAAGCAAAUAGAGAACAAUGAAACUGUUCAAAUUCCAGUUCCAAAACAAACAAACAACCAUGAUUGUGGGUUCCACAUGUUGAUGCAUGCUCAACAUUGGGAUGGACGUUUGGUGUGUGAGCUUCAUGAAAAGGACAUUCCUAACAUACGGAAGAUCCUGGCGCAUACAUGGCUCAGCUAUGAAGAAAAUGACGUAGACUGGGAGAGCAUCUUAAAUGCAGAAUAUGCUUUAUGGCAGCGGCUUCAAAAGUGGUUCUACAACACUGGACCCAACUACAGCGUAUCUGCAUCUGUAUUUUGGGGAGAAGAUCUGCUGUUUUUUUCUUCACAUUUUUUUUCUGGGGAUGAUGAUGGCACCGCAUGUGGAUCCAUGUGGUUACUGGAACCUAGAUGUUGGGGCCUUGGGGGAGGGGAAGAAUUGCAGAUGAUCGCAGCAUAAAAGACUUCGUUAUGUGUGACGUACCUAAUC